RNAcentral lists this ribosomal RNA (135 nucleotides) under uncultured bacterium. RNAcentral's name for it is "partial 16S ribosomal RNA". It matches the Rfam family "Bacterial small subunit ribosomal RNA", at positions 355 to 509 of the family's 1533-position model. The record is from RNAcentral.
UGGGGGAUAUUGCACAAUGGAGGAAACUCUGAUGCAGCGACGCCGCGUGAGGAAGACGUCUUCGGAUUGUAAACCUCUGUCUUUGGGGAAGAAAAUGACGGUACCCAAAGAGGAAGCUCCGGCUAACUACGUGCC